ACACACUUCUCUAUCCAGCGCACCCCAAAACCCAGUAAACCCGACCCAAUUCCCCUUUCUCUUCUUCUUCACCAAAGGAAAAGAAACCAGCAGGCAUAUCCCCCUGUUGUUAGUCUCUUCCACGCGUGAGCAGAGAGAGCUCGAAAAGCUCUAGCCGCGAAGCCAAAUGUGACUUAAGCCGCGUUUCUCCCUUUCCUUCUCUGUCCGUUCGUACCCCUGCAGAAGAGCAACUUUCUCCGUACGCGAGCAGGCCAGAUGGAGACAUCUCCUUGCCCCAUCGUCAUUAAGAGCGCAAUCGGACGGCUCUCAUCCCUUUUUCUAUUCAGAAAUUGUACAAGCUCGUACUAUUCAACCUCAACCUUAUCUCUUUAGUGUUUUUCAAUUUCGAAACUAGACAUGGAAUCUCGAUUUUACCCCAGUCUUUUUCGAGAUUUCCUCCGCUCUCCACCAGUCGAAAAAACCCUAAUCCAUUCCUAUAUAUAUUGCUUCGUCCACUAUUCUAGGGGGAUAAGGGUUGGAGUCGUUGUUAAAGAUAAAAAUCGCCGUAAGAACCACUAGUGAUAUAGCUAUUACAAAUAAACACUUGGGAAUAGGUCUUAAAAUCACAGAGAGUAAGGCUUCCGAUUCCUGUUUUGUUCUUUUUUUUUUCUCGAAAGUUCAUCGGAGUUGCGGUUUGGUGGUGGAAGGAUCGUUCUCAUAGCAAGCUCUUUGUCCUCGUUCCUGCUCUGAAAAGGGCUGAGAUUUAGAAAGGAAAAGUCCCUCACUGUUUUCAUGCCUAACCUCUUAGUGAGAAAUAAUGACAUAUCGUGCUUUUGGCCAUCAUCUUUACUCCAAUUUAAGAAAAAAAUUAUUUAUUCUUAACAUAUAUACAUUGUUGCCUUUGCUCUGUUUCAUGUUGUAUCUUAAUCCUAAUUACAUGAACUUUUCAUUUGAUUAUUGUUUGUCUUUAAUAUUUAACUAUCAUUCUUGCUGGUUUUACCAUGAGGAGAUUAGUUUAAUUUCAAAUGGAUAUGCUUUGAGUAUUACAUGCUUUUCCUUGGUCAUUGUGGUAUAACGUGGGUAUAGCAAAUCAAGCACGUGCAUCUUGGUCUUAUUUAUUUUUGUUUGUCAUGGCUGCAUUUCAUAAGAUUUAUACUCUAUUAUUAAUUAUUACCUUGUUUUAUUCUCUUCUAUGUUUGAAACGGCUUCUCCCGAGUCUGUGGAGACUCUUUUCCUUGCAUUCUGUCAAUUCCUUCAUCGAGUCAGCAAACAAGAUAUUGAAAUACAGGUUUCCGAAGAACCAAUACAAAGCUGGAAAUUAAUUUAUAAGUCUCCAAAAUCCAGAAAAUGAGUUGUAUACAUCAUGUAUGCUCUGAUAUAAAGAUUUAAAAAUAUUGAAAAUACGAGAGAUACAGGUCUGACGACAAAACACGGGUAGAAACCGGUAUACAGGAACGAUGGAUAAAUGCAUACAUUUAAUAUAGCAUGUAUACACUAAUAUACACGCUUUAUACAGUGAUAUACAGUCGUAAAUAUAGUAUACAAGUUCAAAAUAUGUCGAAGCAUGUUGGAAAAUAAAAAUGUGAAUUUCAAGCUGAAAUACAGAUUUGGGAGUGCAAAAUGCAUCCGAUACAAGGCGUAUACAUCCGAUAUACACUUGGUGUAUAUCUUGCCAUUUGAAAGCAACAGGAAGCCCAAAGGCUUAAAAGAAUAGCCCAUCAGCAAAAUUUCAAUAAAUAGGCCUAAAAGCCUCAAACCUUUGCAUGCUGAAUUGAGUUGCUGAAAAGUGGUCCCAAGCCCAUGUUUUGGACAAAUUUAGUAUAGUACAGGUGGGCCAAAGCCCAACUUAGUGGAAUUUGGGCAAAUCGGCCGAAGUUCAAAUUUUCCCUUUCUUUAUCUCUUUGUUUAUUUGUCCUUAUGUUGACUAACACUUUCGAUUAUGAUUUAA
Long non-coding RNA from Solanum pennellii, 1927 nucleotides. RefSeq lists it as uncharacterized. The transcript is spliced from 2 exons. The record is from RefSeq and is a predicted model, not a curated record. Lineage: Eukaryota; Viridiplantae; Streptophyta; Magnoliopsida; Solanales; Solanaceae.